This 277-nucleotide long non-coding RNA is filed under the name Nicotiana benthamiana. RNAcentral's name for it is "long non-coding RNA (NBEN_LNC026517)". Lineage: Eukaryota; Viridiplantae; Streptophyta; Magnoliopsida; Solanales; Solanaceae. The record is from RNAcentral.
UAACUGUCAAGUACAAAUAUGUUCCGGCAUUCACGUCGUGAUCGUAUUUCUACAGUGAGAUUCUCGCUCUUUUUAUUAUGAAACCAUAACUGUAUUAUCUUGAGGUUGGCCAUACUUGGUUUCGGUGUUCAUCGUGCACAUUGAUCUUCGAGUCUUGUGCUCCACCAUCGGACUCAGUCUAUCUCGAACUUGUUCUCGUAGCGACCCAUCUUACCUACGAAAUUGGGCAUAUCUAAUUUCGACCAUGUACAGUUUGGUCACUCAAUUUGAAUUUAUA